CAAGAAGCAAGCAAACUACCAAGAAGUUGAGUACUCGCCCAUCUACUUGCUCCAAUCAGUGAGAAGAAUUGUCUCAUCAUCUGUCCAUUUUUCUGUGUUUAGGAAAUAUUAAGGUAGACAAGAAUGAGUAAUGGAAAGAACUCCGCCUGGUACACCUUGUUCUUAAGGUUUCUGUCUUCCUGCUUCAGUUCAUCUGCAGGGAGUGGAACUAAAUCCUUGCACACUGGGCCAGAGGCGGCAAUGAUAGGUGCUGCUAAGCAUUUCUCCUCUGCUCACAAAAUAAAAAUGGGCUAGCUUCCAUUGAUGAUGGGCAGUUUUUCAGGAGUAAUGCUAGUGUCUCUGGAUGAUGAAGUCUCUCCUAUAAGAUCCCAUGUACAAAUGCUCUAUCUCAUUGGAUGUGUCUGAGAAUGAUCAAUGCAGAGGUUGAAUAACUGCAAAUUUUGGGUUAGGAAUGGCCUAGCCACCAUUCCCAAUCCUCCCAAUUUCGCAGACACAGGAAGAAUCAUAUAAUCUUCCUAAAAACACUCAUGGGUGCAGGUUGAUUUUUCUGUUGUUGAAAUUUCAAAUUGUUUUAGGAGGCAUUGUAUAGCAGUUUGUAUUUGAAUUGUUGUGAUACUUUUCUACCCUUUGUGAAUAAACAUUUCAUAUUUAUUAAAAAGCCUUCCAAUUCAUUUUGAAAUUUUAAAUGGUAAGUGUUUAUGUUGAUUUGAAGGAAAAGCAUACCCUAAUCCUGGUCUUAAAAAGUAAGAAAGAAAAUCACAAGCAUUAAAUUCAGACUUGUUAAAAGAAAAGUCAACAUUAGGUCCACAUUUUGAAGGCACAGGGGAAGCUAAAACUGCUUGUGAGAGAGGCAAGUGGGCCUGGCCUGGCCUAGCAUUGUGGUCAAACUCAAAACUCAAAAGAGGUCUUCUGUUUUUGAACUAUUUCCUUUGUCACAGUCCAAGAGCCAUCACCCAAGUAUUGGGGUAAAAAUUCACGCAUAGUACGAAUUGUAACUCUUGGAAUUCAUGCAUAUAGCCUAUCCUUUUGAAGUCCUAAACUCCUAACUAUGAAAUUCUCUAAUCAAUAUCCUCUAUCUUAUAUUUUUCCUUGAGGAUUCUCAUAGUUCCUUUACAAUGAGCAAGAUUUAGAUGGUAUUUGUUUUUUUACUUAAUUCUAAAUAGAACGUUAAUGCUUAAUAGUGUUAAAUAUUAUAUUGUUUGUUUUUGUAAUAUUUUAUUUCUAUUAAGUAUUAAAAAGUAAAAAAAAUUAAUAUGUUAUUUUUUCUAUUUAGAAAAAAGCUACAUAUUUUGGUGUGUUUGUUUUUUUACUUAAUUCUAAAUAGAACCUUAAUGCUUAAUAGUGUUAAUAUUAGGUUGUUUAUUUUUGUAGUAUUUUAUUUCUAUUAAGUAUUAAAAAGUAAAAAAAACCAAUAUGUUAUUUUUUCUAUUUAGAAAAAGUUACAUAUUUUGGUUUUUUCUAUUUAGUAAAAAGUUUAUAAUAAGUCAUGAAAAAGUAGAAAAACAAACAAUUUAAAUUCUAAAACUAAAUUGCUUUUAUAAAAAAGUCAAAAAAACAAACACCAUAUUGAUUUUUUUAUUUAGUAAAAAGUUUAUAAUAAGUUAUGAAAAAAUAGAAAAACAAACAACUUAAAUUCUAAAACUAAAUCACUUUCAGUAAAAAGCCAGAAAAACAAAUACCACCUUGUGAGGUAGCACAACAUUCUUUGUUGCCAGUUCUUCAAGUUCAUUUUACUAAACUUUUCUAGCUUUUCACCAUAAACAGCCAAAGUAAUCAAAUAGUAAAAAUGAAUUUGUUAGAAGACUGUUAAAAAUGAAUUUGAGGUAAAUGACAGUCUAAAUUUUCUUGUUAAACAAGAAAGUCAGAAAAGGAUGGUGGUCAAAAGCGAAGUCUUCCCAGUUUCUGAGCUAUUUCCUUUUCCACGGUCUUGAGUCCGCUGCCCACAUGCUCAAAUACAAGCUUGAACCCCAAGAAAUCUCAGCUAUAUAAACAGCAGAGAACAUGGAAGCCAAUCACAAGAAACAAGCAAACUACCAAGAAGUUGAGUACUCGUCCAUCUACUUGCUCCAAUCAGUGAGAAGAAUUGUCUCAUCAUCUGUCCAUUUUUCUGAGUUUAGAAAAUAUUAAGGUAGACAAGAAUGAGUAAAGGAAAGAACUCCGCCUGGUACACCUUGUUCUUAAGGUUGCUGUCUUCCUUCUUCAGUUCAUCUGCAGGGAGUGGAACUAAAUCCUUGCAUACUGGGCCGGAGGCAGCAAUGGUAGCCGCUGCUAAGCAUUUCUCCUCUGCUCACAAAAUAAAAAUGGGCUAGCUUCCAUUGAUGAUGGGCGGUUUUUCAGGAGUAAUGCUAGUCUCUCUGGAUGAUGAAGUCUCUCCUACAAGAUCCCAUGCACAAAUUCUCUAUCUCGUUGAGAAUUUUCAAUGCAGAAGUUGAACAACUGCAGAUUAGAUAUCAACCAUGUUGGCAGAUUUCGGGUUGGUAAUUAAUGAUCUACUACCCAGCAGUCCAAUCAUGCCAAUUUCCAGAAAGAAAGAGGAAGAAUCAUAUAAUCUUCCUAAAUACACUUAUGGAUACAAGUUGAUUUCAGGCUUUGUUUAGCAGUUUGUAUUUGAAUUGUUGUCAUACUUUUCUACUCUUUGUGAAUAAAUAUUUCAUAUUUAUUAAAAACCUUCCACAUUUGUCCAAGCCAAGCCUUUACUCCAAGCAGGAGGUUUAUGAUUUUAAAUAGUAAGUGCUUAUGCUGAUUUGGAGGAUAAGGAUAACCUAAUCCAGGUGCGAAGAGGAAAAUAAAAUAAGAAAAACACAGAAGCUUAAAUUCAGACUUGUCAAAGAUAAGUCAAUACUAGGUCCGCAUUUUGAAGGUAGAAGGGAAGCAAAGUUGGUUUGUAACUUGUGAGAGAGGAAAUUGGGCCUAGCCUAGCAUUGUCGUCAAAACUCAAAAGAGAGCUCCUGUUUCUCAACCAUUUCCUUUGUCACGAUCCAAGAGCCAUCACCCAAGUAUUCUGGUCAAAGACGGAAGUCCUCAGUUUCUCCACUGUCUCUAUAUCUCAGUUCACAAUCAACUCCCACACCCCCAAAUAUCAUGUAAGAUUCAAUGAGUGAGCUUAUGAGAAGUCAAGUUGGCGCACCUUAGUCAAGUUAGCAGCAGCCAUGGUCGCUGCUGGCUGCUGUUAAGCAUCUCUUUCUCUCAUAAAUUCCGGAUAUGGUAGCAUAGCAGUCACGAGGUCCUUUUAAGGACCGUGGAAAUACCAUACCUCCGUUUUAAUAGACGUGAUGAGAUUUUGUGGUUCAGGAUUCCAAGCAUUAAUAGUAAACACAUAAUGGUCAGUUGAUUCUAAAAUUUUAUUCAUUUGAGGAUAUUGGUUAUAAUUUAUACCUUUUUUGUACUCUUAUUUUCCUACACUAAAAGUAAUAACACCUACUUGAUGUUUAAUUACUUUCGAAUCAAAAGCUUUUGGGACUUUAUGAUUGGCUUUGAAUCUGUUGUUCACAGCUUUCAAAAACAAUUUUGAAAAACUAGUUUUUAAGCACAAUUUUUAAAAACUAUUUUAUAAUUUAAAUAUAUUUUGGGUUUAUGAUUUCCAAUCCCAUAAUCUAUGUAUUUUUAGAAUUACCUUUUGUCUCCAUGAUGAUACAUGAUUCAAUGAUUCAAUGUGCUAGUGGUGCAUGGUGAGCUAGUGCAUGUUUGAAUUAUUUGCUGGAACUGGGUGUCUUUUUCUUUGUUUUUUGAGGUUGCCUCAAUGUUGGAUGACUGGAUAAUGGGCCUUAUCGAUCUCAAUUAACACAAAUCACAUACUGUUUGAGGUAAAUGUUGGUCUAAUUUUCUUGUUGAACAAGUCAGAAAAGUAUGGUGGUCAAAAGCGAAGUCCCACAAGCUUCUGAGCUAUUUCCUUUUCCAGUCUUGAGCCUCCAAUACAAGCUUGAACCCCAAGAAAUCUCUUUUAUAUAAACGGCAGAGAACAUGGAAUCCAAUCACAAGAAGCAAGCAAACCACCGAAAAGUUAAGAGUACUCUCCCAUCUACUUGCUAGAACCAGUGAGAAGAAUUGUCUCAUCUUUCCAUUUUUCUGGGUUUAGUUAAUACUAAGGUAGACAAGAAUGAGUAAAGAAAAGAACUCCGCCUCGUCCACCAUGUUCUUAAGGUUGCUGUCUUCCUUCUUCAGUUCGUCUCCGGGGAGUGGUAAGUUGAAGAGUUCAAGAAGUACAUCCUUACACACCGGGCCGGAGGCAGCAAUGGUAGCUGCUGCUAAGCAUUUCUCCUCUGCUCACAAAAUAAACUUGGGCUAGCUUCCAUUGAUAAUGGGCAGUUUGUCAGGAGUAAUGCCAGUCUCCCUGGAUGAUGAAGUCUCUCCUAUAAGAUCCGAUGCACAAAUGCUCUAUCCCAUUGGAUGUGUGCGAGAAUUUUCAAGGCAGAAGUUGAAUAACUGCAGAUUAGAUAUCAAACAUGUUGGUUCAUUUUGGGUUGGUAAUGGUCUACUACCCAGCAGUCCAACCCUGCCAAUUUCGCAGAAAGAAAGAGGAAGAAUCAUAUAAUCUUCCUAAAAGCACUUAUGGGUGCAAGUUGAUUUUAGGCUUUGUUUGGGAGUUUGUAUUAAUUUGAAUUGUUGUAAUACUUUUCUACUUUUUUCAAUAAAUAUUUUAUCUUUAUUAAAAAGCCUUCUACAUUUGUCUAAGCUUUUACUUUUCUUCAAAU
This 4691-nucleotide long non-coding RNA is filed under the name Vitis vinifera (wine grape). RNAcentral's name for it is "long non-coding RNA (VVIN_LNC004787)". Lineage: Eukaryota; Viridiplantae; Streptophyta; Magnoliopsida; Vitales; Vitaceae. The record is from RNAcentral.